GUCGAACGGUAGAGGGGGCAACCCCUUGAGAGUGGCGAACGGGUGAGUAAUAUAUCGGAACGUGCCCAGUCGUGGGGGAUAACGUAGCGAAAGUUACGCUAAUACCGCAUACGAUCUAAGGAUGAAAGCGGGGGAUCGCAAGACCUCGCGCGACUGGAGCGGCCGAUAUCAGAUUAGGUAGUUGGUAGGGUAAAGGCCUACCAAGCCAACGAUCUGUAGCUGGUCUGAGAGGACGACCAGCCACACUGGAACUGAGACACGGUCCAGACUCCUACGGGAGGCAGCAGUGGGGAAUUUUGGACAAUGGGCGAAAGCCUGAUCCAGCCAUUCCGCGUGCAGGAUGAAGGCCCUCGGGUUGUAAACUGCUUUUGUACAGAACGAAAAGGUUUCUAUUAAUACUAGGAGCUCAUGACGGUACUGUAAGAAUAAGCACCGGCUAACUACGUGCCAGCAGCCGCGGUAAUACGUAGGGUGCAAGCGUUAAUCGGAAUUACUGGGCGUAAAGCGUGCGCAGGCGGUUAUAUAAGUCAGAUGUGAAAUCCCCGGGCUCAACCUGGGAACUGCAUUUGAGACUGUAUAGCUAGAGUACGGUAGAGGGGGAUGGAAUUCCGCGUGUAGCAGUGAAAUGCGUAGAUAUGCGGAGGAACACCGAUGGCGAAGGCAAUCCCCUGGACCUGUACUGACGCUCAUGCACGAAAGCGUGGGGAGCAAACAGGAUUAGAUACCCUGGUAGUCCACGCCCUAAACGAU
Molecule: ribosomal RNA, 750 nt
Filed under: uncultured bacterium
Lineage: Bacteria
Description: bacterial SSU rRNA
Rfam family: Bacterial small subunit ribosomal RNA
Source: RNAcentral